AUAACCAAAAUCAUAAUAAGGUAGGCUUCCACGAAACUUCGCUGCAUCCUCCUCUGUUAUUCCAAUACCAUGAUCUGCUCUUUCACAAUCACUCCCUCCUCCACCAAUCAUCAUCACUGCACCAUCACCACCAUCCCAAUUAUGUUACUUAAGUUUCCACACGGGUUCGGUGUAUUACUUAUAUUUAUUUCGUACGUUUUCCUCGUAUUUUACAACGCUUUUUCGAUAACUCUGAAAACUA
Non-coding RNA from Paramuricea clavata, 241 nucleotides. NCBI's taxonomy places the organism in Eukaryota, Metazoa, Cnidaria, Anthozoa, Malacalcyonacea, Plexauridae. The record is from the annotation of a GenBank genome assembly.